UACGUAGGCAGCAAGCGUUGUUCGGAGUUACUGGGCGUAAAGAGUGUGUAGGCGGUUCUCUAAGUUCGGUGUGAAAUCUCCCGGCUCAACUGGGAGGGUGCGCCGGAAACUGGAGGGCUUGAGUAUGGGAGAGGAAAGCGGAAUUCCUGGUGUAGCGGUGAAAUGCGUAGAUAUCAGGAGGAACACCUGCGGCGAAGGCGGCAUCCUGGACCGACACUGACACUGAGGAGCGAAAGCCAGGGGAGCAAACGGG
This 253-nucleotide ribosomal RNA is filed under the name uncultured bacterium. RNAcentral describes it as "partial 16S ribosomal RNA". It matches the Rfam family "Bacterial small subunit ribosomal RNA", at positions 524 to 776 of the family's 1533-position model. The record is from RNAcentral.